RNAcentral lists this ribosomal RNA (429 nucleotides) under Acidobacteriota bacterium. Its description in RNAcentral is "Acidobacteria bacterium partial 16S ribosomal RNA". It matches the Rfam family "Bacterial small subunit ribosomal RNA", at positions 355 to 776 of the family's 1533-position model. The record is from RNAcentral. Lineage: Bacteria; Pseudomonadati; Acidobacteriota.
UAGGGAAUCUUCCGCAAUGGGCGAAAGCCUGACGGAGCAAUGCCGCGUGAGUGAAGAAGGCCUUCGGGUCGUAAAACUCUGUUAUAAGAGAAGAACAAAUUGUAGAGUAACUGCUACAGUCUUGACGGUAUCUUAUCAGAAAGCCACGGCUAACUACGUGCCAGCAGCCGCGGUAAUACGUAGGUGGCAAGCGUUGUCCGGAUUUAUUGGGCGUAAAGGGAGCGCAGGUGGUUUCUUAAGUCUGAUGUGAAAGCCCACGGCUUAACCGUGGAGGGUCAUUGGAAACUGGGAAACUUGAGUACAGAAGAGGAAUGUGGAACUCCAUGUGUAGCGGUGGAAUGCGUAGAUAUAUGGAAGAACACCAGUGGCGAAGGCGACAUUCUGGUCUGUUACUGACACUGAGGCUCGAAAGCGUUGGGAGCAAACAGG